UAUUUCUUUUGGUCUACGUUCCUUCUACUAACUCUCCCUGAUAAGGAAUAAUCCUAGAGGGAACUGGUUAUAUGUUCAAUGAAUGAAGAAUUUUUAAAAAUUAAAUUUUUCUUAUUGUUUAAAAGAUUUAAAUCUGAAUAUAUUCUGUGCAUGCGUCAUAUAUGAAGUUUAAAAGAAUCAUACACAAAGAGAAAUCAUUUUAAGAAGUAGACUAUCAAGUUAAUUUCCUUCUAAACUGGUCAUUUCUAUUGGGUCAUCCUUAAGACAUGAAUGAAUUCAUACCAUGAGGAAAUCUAUACUUUUUUUUUUUCUUGAGGAGAUCUAUACUUUAUGCCCUUGGGAGAUUAUUAAGCCAAAUUGUUGUCUUUCUAAGAAAUAGCAGCUUAGAGAUGACUUUUCAGAAAAAAAAAA
This is a long non-coding RNA of Octodon degus (degu), 411 nucleotides long. RefSeq lists it as uncharacterized. The transcript has 2 exons. Lineage: Eukaryota; Metazoa; Chordata; Mammalia; Rodentia; Octodontidae. The record is from RefSeq and is a predicted model, not a curated record.